Molecule: transfer RNA, 87 nt
Filed under: Myxococcales bacterium
Lineage: Bacteria; Pseudomonadati; Myxococcota; Myxococcia; Myxococcales
Description: tRNA-Leu
Rfam family: tRNA
About the family: Transfer RNA (tRNA) molecules are approximately 80 nucleotides in length. Their secondary structure includes four short double-helical elements and three loops (D, anti-codon, and T loops).
Source: RNAcentral
GCCCAGAUGGCGGAAUUGGUAGACGCGCUAGGUUCAGGUCUUAGUGAGGUUUUCUUCGUGGAGGUUCGAGUCCUCUUCUGGGCACCA